This 253-nucleotide ribosomal RNA is filed under the name uncultured bacterium. RNAcentral's name for it is "partial 16S ribosomal RNA". It matches the Rfam family "Bacterial small subunit ribosomal RNA", at positions 524 to 776 of the family's 1533-position model. The record is from RNAcentral.
UACAGAGGGGGCAAGCGUUGUUCGGAAUUACUGGGCGUAAAGGGCGCGUAGGCGGCCUUCUAAGUCGAACGUGAAAUCCCCGGGCUCAACCCGGGAACUGCGUCCGAUACUGGAAGGCUUGAAUCCGGGAGAGGGAUGCGGAAUUCCAGGUGUAGCGGUGAAAUGCGUAGAUAUCUGGAGGAACACCGGUGGCGAAGGCGGCAUCCUGGACCGAAACUGACGCUGAGGAGCGAAAGCCAGGGGAGCAAACGGG